Podarcis lilfordi (Lilford's wall lizard) is the source of this 118-nucleotide non-coding RNA. The record is from the annotation of a GenBank genome assembly. NCBI's taxonomy places the organism in Eukaryota, Metazoa, Chordata, Lepidosauria, Squamata, Lacertidae.
AGUCCAGUAGCACCUUAGAGACUAACUAAGUUUGUUCUUGGUAUCUGAAGCAGUGUGCAUACACAGGAAAGCUUAUAUCAAGACCAAACCUAGUUGGUCUCUAAGGUGCUACUGGACG